CGCCGUGAACCGUCAGCCCCGCGGGAGCAGCGAUACCCGGAACUCCUGGAGAGCCCGCACAGUGCCGU
Molecule: non-coding RNA, 68 nt
Filed under: Pseudopedinella elastica
Lineage: Eukaryota; Dictyochophyceae; Pedinellales
Source: RNAcentral